GCUGUACUCUUGCAACUACCAUUUAUAUUUUCGAAGUAUCUCUACAUCAGGCAUCAUGUACUUGUUCAACUUGAUUCUCCUGCUUCUAAUGUGUACACUCUGUGGGGCUUUGUUCAAGUGUGGACUAGGAUACAGCUCUACCGGUUACCAAAGACAUCAUGGGAAGGUAGAUCAACCUUGCAUUUUCUGCGUUAUAAACGGAUGGGGUCAUCCACCAGGUACGCUGCUCAAAUACAAUACAUGUAAACGAGGCCUCGGAUGUAAAGAAGUCUGGACAGAACGUGAACAAGGCGGAAACAAAUACAGAGAUCUUCAGCUAAUUUGUAAAGAAAAAAGCGACAGUGAAACUAACCAGUAAAUAGUACACAUGAUUCCGAAAUUUGAAAACAUAUUUUUUCGUGUUGGUUCAAAAACAUGUACAAUUGAGUUGUGUCAGAUUAUUUAUUAAAACUAGUGUCAAGCUGGA
Molecule: long non-coding RNA, 466 nt
Organism: Macrosteles quadrilineatus (aster leafhopper)
Lineage: Eukaryota; Metazoa; Arthropoda; Insecta; Hemiptera; Cicadellidae
Exons: 2
Source: RefSeq, a predicted model, not a curated record